UGACACAGGGAGGUAGUGACAAGAAAUAACAAUACAGGGCUUUCGUCUUGUAAUUGGAAUGAUGGUGAUGUACAACCUCACCAGAGUACCAAUUGGAGGGCAAGUCUGGUGCCAGCAGCCGCGGUAAUUCCAGCUCCAAUAGCGUAUAUUAAACUUGUUGCAGUUAAAAAGCUCGUAGUUGUAUUUCAGCCUCGCGUUUUUUCCCUCGUUUUGGGUCUUUUCGCUGGCUUUUUUUUUACUUUGAGAAAAUUAGAGUGUUUCAAGCAGACUUUUGUCUUGAAUACUUCAGCAUGGAAUAAUAGAGUAGGACCUUGGUUCUAUUUUGUUGGUUUUGAGCCUUGGUAAUGGUUAAUAGGAACGGUUGGGGGCAUUCGUAUUUAACUGUCAGAGGUGAAAUUCUUAGAU
This 405-nucleotide ribosomal RNA is filed under the name Babesia bigemina. RNAcentral describes it as "partial small subunit ribosomal RNA". It matches the Rfam family "Eukaryotic small subunit ribosomal RNA", at positions 452 to 925 of the family's 1831-position model. The record is from RNAcentral. Lineage: Eukaryota; Apicomplexa; Aconoidasida; Piroplasmida; Babesiidae.